Molecule: non-coding RNA, 88 nt
Organism: Helianthus annuus (common sunflower)
Lineage: Eukaryota; Viridiplantae; Streptophyta; Magnoliopsida; Asterales; Asteraceae
Source: Rfam
AGGGCAAAUGAUGAGAUACCAGACAGGGACAUCUGCAUUCCAAUAUUGGAGUAUGAUGAUUUGUCUGUGGGAAUCUCUCUGAUGCUUG